Long non-coding RNA from Solanum tuberosum (potato), 444 nucleotides. RefSeq lists it as uncharacterized. The transcript is spliced from 2 exons. The record is from RefSeq and is a predicted model, not a curated record. Lineage: Eukaryota; Viridiplantae; Streptophyta; Magnoliopsida; Solanales; Solanaceae.
CACAUAAAAAUGAGCCCAUCUAAACGAGCCGUGAUAUCUAAGCCCAAUAAGAAUAGAUCACGGAGAAGUUGUUUACGAUCUGUGAAAUCACGUUUUUGUAACAGCGUUUCGUUGGAAAAUUUAAUUUUGCUCCGACGUUGAGCUCCGUCCGGUGGAAUCUCCGAUUAUUUAUCCUCUGUGAUCACCGUUCAGGCACCUAGGGAUGGCAAUGGGGCGGGGUGGGUGCGGGGCAGGAUGGGUUUGGCGUUAUGCGUGUGCGGGGUGGGUUGAAAUAUGGUUUUGAAAAACUAAUGUGGGGCAGGUUGUGGUUUUGUUGUCUUCUUUUAUUUAAUUUUACUAUAUCCCUGUCGUAUUUACUCAUUAUUUUAAUGUAAUGCUUCCCCGCUAAUAAUUACUAAGUACUGUUGUGUUUUUUUUCUGUUAAAGCUCUAAUUUUUAUACCUU